AAGUAAAAGUCGUAACAAGGUAACCGUAGGUGAACCUGCGGUUGGAUCAUUACUGAUUCCGUAAAAAUGCUUUGUGUAAUGUGUUUGGUUCCCUUUUUUUUCUUUGGUUCAGGAGGGAAGAGAGUCUUGUACUUUUUUUUUUCUUGAGAUUGAGGGAAAGGGGGCACCGCUCACAAGACUAAAGCCGUUACCAUCCUGUUUGCUUUGUAAUGUUGUCAGCUUCUGAGAUAAGAAGACCGCCGUUAAAAGCUGUGUCACCAGUUCGUGGUUUAUUGCAGACCGUGGUUGAUUUUCCGAUGUCCUUUUGUCUCAAUGUUAAACCGCGAUUCCUAUUUAACUGGC
Molecule: unclassified non-coding RNA, 342 nt
Filed under: uncultured fungus
Lineage: Eukaryota; Fungi
Description: sequence contains 18S rRNA gene, ITS1, 5.8S rRNA gene
Rfam family: Eukaryotic small subunit ribosomal RNA (bases 1-52)
Source: RNAcentral